AGUGGCAGACGGGUGAGUAAUGUAUAGGAAUCUACCUAGUAGUACGGAAUAAUUGUUGGAAACGGCAACUAAUACCGUAUACGCCCUACGGGGGAAAAAUUUAUUGCUAUUAGAUGAGCCUAUAUUAGAUUAGUUAGUUGGUGAGGUAAAGGCUUACCAAGACAAUGAUCUAUAGCUGAUCUGAGAGGAUGAUCAGCCACACUGGAACUGAGAUACGGUCCAGACUCCUACGGGAGGCAGCAGUGGGGAAUAUUGGACAAUGGGCGAAAGCCUGAUCCAGCCAUGCCACAUGAGUGAAGAAGGCCUUCGGGUUGUAAAGCUCUUUUAGUGAGGAAGAUAAUGACGGUACUCACAGAAGAAGUCCUGGCUAACUCCGUGCCAGCAGCCGCGGUAAUACGGAGAGGGCUAGCGUUAUUCGGAAUCAUUGGGCGUAAAGGGCGCGUAGGCGGGUUAGUAAGUUAAAAGUGAAAUCCCAAGGCUCAACCUUGGAACUGCUUUUAAAACUGCUAGUCUAGAGAUUGAAAGAGGAUAGAGGAAUUCCUAGUGUAGAGAUGAAAUUCGUAAAUAUUAGGAGGAACACCAGUGGCGAANGCGUCUAUC
Molecule: ribosomal RNA, 600 nt
Filed under: uncultured Wolbachia sp.
Lineage: Bacteria; Pseudomonadati; Pseudomonadota; Alphaproteobacteria; Rickettsiales; Anaplasmataceae
Description: bacterial SSU rRNA
Rfam family: Bacterial small subunit ribosomal RNA
Source: RNAcentral